UUUGAUCCUGGUAGAGGAACGCUGGCGGCAUGCCUAACACAUGCAAGUCGAACGGUAGCAUGAGGUGUAGCAAUACAUCUUGAUGGCGAGUGGCGGACGGGUGAGGAAUGCAUCGGAAUUUGCCCAGUCGUGGGGGAUAACCCGGGGAAACCCGGACUAAUACCGCAUACGACCGAGAGGUGAAAGCGGGGGACCGUAAGGCCUCGCGCGAUUGGAUGAGCCGAUGCCGGAUUAGCUAGUUGGCGGGGUAAAAGCCCACCAAGGCGACGAUCCGUAGCUGGUCUGAGAGGAUGAUCAGCCACACUGGGACUGAGACACGGCCCAGACUCCUACGGGAGGCAGCAGUGGGGAAUAUUGGACAAUGGGGGCAACCCUGAUCCAGCAAUGCCGCGUGUGUGAAGAAGGUCUUCGGGUUGUAAAGCACUUUUAUCGGGAACGAAACAUUGUCGGUCAAUACCCGGCAAGACUGACGGUACCCGAGGAAUAAGCACCGGCUAACUCCGUGCCAGCAGCCGCGGUAAAUACGGAGGGUGCAAGCGUUAAUCGGAAUUACUGGGCGUAAAGCGUGUGCAGGCGGUUUGUUAAGUCUGCUGUGAAAUCCCCGAGCUCAACUUGGGAAUUGCAGUGGAUACUGACAAGCUGGAGUACGGUAGAGGAAGGUGGAAUUCCCGGUGUAGCAGUGAAAUGCGUAGAGAUCGGGAGGAACACCUGUGGCGAAGGCUGUCUUCUGGACCAGUACUGACGCUUCAUGCACGAAAGCGUG
RNAcentral lists this ribosomal RNA (763 nucleotides) under uncultured bacterium. Its description in RNAcentral is "bacterial SSU rRNA". It matches the Rfam family "Bacterial small subunit ribosomal RNA", at positions 12 to 763 of the family's 1533-position model. The record is from RNAcentral.